Molecule: long non-coding RNA, 844 nt
Organism: Astatotilapia calliptera (eastern happy)
Lineage: Eukaryota; Metazoa; Chordata; Actinopteri; Cichliformes; Cichlidae
Source: Ensembl
GGACAGACGAUGGACAGACGGACGGACAGACGAUGGAUGGAUGGAUGGCUGGAUAGAUGGAUGGAUGGACUGAUGGACAGACGAUGGAUGGAUGGAUGGAUGGAUGGAUGGAUGGAUGGACGGACAGACAAUGAUGGAUGGAUGGAUGGAUGGACAGACGGGCGGAUGGACAAUGGAUGGAUGGGGACAGACGGAUGGACAGACGAUGGACGGAUGGACUGACGGAUGGGUGGAUGAUGGAUGGACGAUGGACGGACUCUGUCAGCUCCUCUUUCCUCUGCCUUUUUGUGUUUUGUUUUGUUUUGUUUUUUUCAGCCAAAUAAAGUUUUUAUUUUCUGGGCAGCUUUUUAGUGAAUAUAUUAAAAAGGUGGUAUCAUCUUUGGCGAUGGUGUGGUUGGUACGGUUGCUAUGGGAUGUCCUGUCAAUAAUCUUUGGCCAUAACUUUUAACUGCAGCACUAAAAAACAGAGACCCUUAAAUUACUGUUAUGUCACACCUUUUUAGCAUCUUCCUCUCUCUCCUUUUAAAACACUGUCUCUUUUAUCUUGCAGUAAUUCCCCACAGCACACAUAAAGGUGGAACCAUACUGAUCGGGUCUCCUAAAUUUCUGAAGCUUCUGGAGCUCGAAGUGUGACACAGGCGCUCACUUGAUGAGGUGAGUGAAUUCAUUUGGCGAGCUGCAGCACGGUUCUGGAAACCUGGUGCGGAGGUAAGCAGCUCGCCCCGCGCCGCAGAUGCCUUUAGUUUUCUUAUGGAAUACUAAUUACGUUUGCAUAAUUGGUUUUAGUCAUUUAAAUGGGGGAGCUUGUUAAAUCUUUUCCCCCUGUUUUCACCUACAGCUAAAU